AUGGCGGCGGCGUGGGGCGGCACCACGCAGAAGUGCGCCUCCUGCGGCAAGAAGGUGUACCCGGUCGAGGAGCUCGCCGCCGACGGCCGCGCCUACCAUCGCCCCUGCUUCCGCUGCCACCACUGCAAGAGCACCCUCCAGUUUAGCAAUUAUUCUUCGAUCGAAGGUGUCCUGUACUGCAAACCUCACUAUGACCAGAUAUUAAAAUCAACUGGCAGUUUAGAAAAAAGUUUUGAAGGUGUGACAAGAGCAGCUAAAUCAGAAAAAUCAAAUGGACCUAAGGGCCAGCAAAACAGCAGAUUCUCUAGCAUGUUUGUCGGCACGCAAGACAAGUGCGUAGUUUGUAACAAGACUGUAUACCCUCUUGAAAAGGUUGAUCUUAACGGAGGCUCGUAUCAUAAAUCAUGCUUCCGUUGCACCCAUGGUGGUUGUACACUCAGCCCAUCCAACAAUGUCACACAUGAAGGCAAACUUUAUUGCAAGACCCACCAUUCUCAGUUGUUCAUGGUCAAGGGAAACUUCAGUCAGUUCGAGGAGAACACUGCAAAUGCAAAAGUGGCUAUCGAGAAACAACCAGAAACUGGAGAAGCCACCAACAAGCCAGGUCAAGGUGAUGAAGUCAGUGAGAAGACCUCAGAAAAUGAGCUCACAGCUGAUGAAGCAUCCCAAAAUGAUGUUGCAGCUGAAAAACAAUCACAUAGCAUUGAUGUUGCUAAACCAUCGGAAAGCACAGUUGAGAAGUCAGCAGAAAGUGAAAGUGUUAGUGAGAGUGAGUCAAAGAGUCCUGUAGUUAACAAUAAGCCAUUAGAAAGCAGUGCCGAGAAGCCACAGCAGAGCAGUGUGGUUGAUGCUAAGCCAUCAGGAAGCAGUGCGGCCAUAAGAAAACCAUGGCAACGCAGUCUUCCCACGAAUAAGCCGUUAGUGAGUAGUGCAUCAACUGAAAAGCCAUCACCGAGCGAUGCAGCCAUUGAGAAGCCGUCAUCCAGUAAUGGGACUAAUGGGAAACCGUCGGACAGCAGCACAGCGGUAAAAAAGUCAUGGCAGCGCAGUGUAGCUACUGAGAACCCACAGCAGAGCAUGUUACCAUCGGAUAAGCCAGUAUCAACCAGUGCAGAUGAUGUGAAGCCAUCAGAAAGCGGCAAAGUGGUCAAAAAAACAUGGCAACGCCCUGUGGUUGCUGAGAACCAGAAACAAAACAGUGGACCAACUGAAAAGCCGUCACCGAAGAGUGAUACAAAGCCGUUAGAUAGCAGCACAGCAAUUAAAAGGCCAUGGGGCCGCAGAAUAGCCAGUGAGAAAUCUCUGCAGAGCAGUGAGGUUGAUAUGAAACCAGUGGAAACCAGUACAGUGGUCACUGUUCUACAGCAGCCCAGUGAGGAACCUCUACAAACCAGUGCAGCUGUGCUACAGCAGCCCAGUGAGGAACCUCUACAAACCAGUGCAGCUGUGCUACAGCAGCCCAGUGAGGAACCUCAACAAACUAAUGCAGCUGUGCUACAGCAGCCCAGUGAGGAACCUCAACAAACUAAUGCAGAUGAUGUGAAGCCUUCGGAGGACACUGCAGUAGUAGUGAAAAAGCCAUGGCAAUUCAACACGAGAACCGAGAAGCAACCCCAGAGUAAUGUAGUCGAUGCAAAGAAAACUGAAAGUGCUGGAUCGAUCAAACGGCAGUGGAAGCGCAACACGCCAUUUGAGAAGCCAUCACAAAGCAGUGCAGCAGCAGCUGUGACAAUGACACAAAGCAAUGUGACCGUCACCAAGCCAGCCCCGAGCAACAUGGCUGUGAAGAAGUCAUGGCAAAGAAGUACAACUCCAAAAAAUCUGGCAGCGAGUGAUAUGGCUACCAAUAAAGCAUUGCAAACCAAGGCAGUGAUCGAGAAGCCAUCACAAGAAAGUUCUCAAGAGAAACCAUUACAAGAAAAGGCACCUCAAAUCACUGUGAUCACCGAGAAGCUACCGGAAGAAAGUUCUCAAGAGAAGCCAUCUCAAGAAAAGGCACCUCAAACUGCUGCGAUCAUCGAGAAGCCAUCACAAGAAAGUUCUCAAGAGAAGCCAUCUGAAGCAAAGACACCUAAAAUUGCUGCAACCGCCGAGAACCCAUCAAAUGAAAGUUCUCAAGAAAAGGCACCUCAAAUAGCUUCGAUCACCGGGAAGCCAUCACAAGAAAGUUCUCAAGAGAAGCCAUUACAAAUGAAUGAAUCUUCCAAGGAGCAACUUCAGACUGAAGAGACUGUUGAGAAACAACUUCAAAAUGAAGAUAUUGCUGAUGCUACACCACAAAGGAACCUGAUGACACAGGAUGAUGUCUCUCUCAAGAAGGUACCAGAGCCUGAAAUUGAUGCCACUUCUGGUGAGAACUUGUCAGGUUCUCAAAGUAAGCCAACUGUUGAGCAAACGUUGCAAUCCCAAGACGUCGUGGUUACUCAAGAGGCAAUUGGCCAGAUAACGGAAGCUAAAAAGGAUGCUGGCGUUGAGCAGUCAUCAGAAUCUCGAAGUGUUGCACCGGCUGAGGUUCCAGUGGAGCAACCAUUGCAACGACAAAAAGAUGCAUCCACAGAGCCUAGUAGUGAUGCAAUAGUUAAGGAGUCAUUGCAGCCUGAAUUUGACCCAGCUGCCGUGAAGUCAUCAGAACCACAAACAGAUGCAGCUGCUGAUCAGUCGGCUGAGCAGCUAUCAGAACCUCAAAGUGCCGCAUCAGUGGAGGAACCAGUAGUCCAUCAAAGUGACACAUCUACUGAGAAGCCAUCUGAGUCUCAAGGUGAUGCAGCUGCUGGUGAAUCAUCAGGACCGCCAUCAGAGCCUCAGAACGAUGCAUCCGCCGGGGAACCCUCAGAACCUAAAGUUGACGCAAUUACCGAGGAGCGAUCAGAGAGUCAAAUUGGUGCAGGUCCUCAUGAUUUAACUGAGCAGCCAUUGGAACCUCAAAAGGAUGGGCGUAUUGAGAAGCCACUGGAAACUGAGACUAACGUUGUUACUGAUAAUCCAUCAGAAAGCAGCUUAGCUACUGAAACACUGCCUGAAAGCAUUCCAAAGAUCAGCACUACCACCGAGGAACCUGCACAGCAUGAAAUUUCUGAUGAGACACUGCCUCAAAGCAUUGCACUAGAAACAACACCAGAAAGCACCGCAUUUGUUGAGGAACCCGCAGAUGUCGGUGAGGCCAGUGUUAAGAUAUCAGAUGACAUCUCAGCUGCUGAGAAGCCAUCGGAGGAUGCUGUAACUCCUGAGAAGCCAUCAGAGGAAGUUAAGGCUAGUGUUCAGCCAGCAGAAGACAAUGUGGCUCUCGAGGAACCAUCGGAGGAAGACGAGGUGAGUGUUGAGCCAUCAAGCAUAGUGGAUCUCGAGAGGCCAUCGGAGGAAAAAGAUGAUGCUGUCAAGCCAGUAGAGGACAGCGUGGCUCUUGAGAAGCCAACCGCUGACAAACCUUCAGAGGAAGAUGAGGUGAGUGCUGAGCCAUCAGACGACAGAGCGGAUCUUGAUAAGCCAUCAGAGAAAGAAGUUGACACUGUUGUCAAGCCAUCAGAGGACAGCAUGGCUGUUGAGGAGCCUGUCACCGACAAACCAUCAGUGGAAGAUGAAGCCAGUGCUGAGCCAUCAAACGACAGAAUAGAUGCCGAGAAACCAUCAGAGGAGAAAGAAGACGACACUGUGAAGUCAUCAGAGGAUAGCAUGGCUCUUGAGAAGCCAGCCACUGACAAACCAUCAAAGGAAGAGGAAGAAGGCGCAGCCACCGAGAAGCCGUCGCAUGACGAUGCUGCCAUCGAGGCACCAUCGCACCACGACACGGACUCGGCCACCGACAUACCCUCGCCUGCCACAGAGACGAACAUAUCAGCCUGA
Molecule: ribosomal RNA, 3840 nt
Filed under: Triticum aestivum (bread wheat)
Lineage: Eukaryota; Viridiplantae; Streptophyta; Magnoliopsida; Poales; Poaceae
Description: partial small subunit ribosomal RNA
Source: RNAcentral